AGGAAGGACACAUAUUUCAUGGCUGGAAGGGCAGUAGCUGCUAGCCUUGUCCAUGGACGCCCAGCACCUCACUUUCUUUCUCCAGUACUUUUUGCUGGCUUGGUUGGAGGUCCAAAUGCAGCUUGCUUACUUUAAAUGACAUAAGUGAUGCAGACCUCCUUGCAAAACCGAAAAAGGUAUCUGACAGUUGUACUCUGGAGGAGCUUCAAAAAGCCACAGAUCCUCUUUUGGAUUACAUGGCCAGCGCAGGUCGCGUCAGACGCUUAACAGCAAUCAGCGAUGGAGAUCUUCUCGUGCAUGAUUUGCUGAUGUUUCAUGUUGUACAUCGGGUCCAGGGAUCUUUUCAGAGGUUUACAGAAGGACUGAAGACACUGGGAGUUCUGGAUGCUGCUUCAGUUUUCGAAAGUUGUUUUGCCACGAACCCCAGCCGUUAACAGCAGACGUAAUGGACGACCUUUUCACACCUCAACUUUCCCCCAAAGGAAGUAGUAAGAGAAGAGUGGAAGAAGAAGUCAUUCCUUUGUGGAGGGAUUAUUAUAUUAUAUUUUUAUUAUAUUUUUAAGAUGGAGUAAUAUAUAUGACAUGUGUUUUUUUA
Poecilia latipinna (sailfin molly) is the source of this 595-nucleotide long non-coding RNA. RefSeq lists it as uncharacterized. The record is from RefSeq and is a predicted model, not a curated record. Lineage: Eukaryota; Metazoa; Chordata; Actinopteri; Cyprinodontiformes; Poeciliidae. The transcript has 3 exons.